This 459-nucleotide ribosomal RNA is filed under the name uncultured bacterium. Its description in RNAcentral is "partial 16S ribosomal RNA". It matches the Rfam family "Bacterial small subunit ribosomal RNA", at positions 338 to 795 of the family's 1533-position model. The record is from RNAcentral.
CCUACGGGGGGCAGCAGUGAGGAAUAUUGGUCAAUGGGCGCGAGCCUGAACCAGCCAAGUCGCGUGAGGGAAGACGGUCCUAUGGAUUGUAAACCUCUUUUGUCGGGGAGCAAAAGACGCUACGCGUGGCGUUCCGCGAGUACCCGAAGAAAAAGCAUCGGCUAACUCCGUGCCAGCAGCCGCGGUAAUCCGGAGGAUGCGAGCGUUAUCCGGAUUUAUUGGGUUUAAAGGGUGCGCAGGCGGAAGAUCAAGUCAGCGGUAAAAUUGAGAGGCUCAACCUCUUCGAGCCGUUGAAACUGGUUGUCUUGAGUGAGUGAGAAGUAGGCGGAAUGCGUGGUGUAGCGGUGAAAUGCAUAGAUAUCACGCAGAACUCCGAUUGCGAAGGCAGCAUACCGGCGCUCAACUGACGCUCAUGCACGAAAGUGUGGGUAUCGAACAGGAUUAGAUACCCUAGUAGUC